GCUUUUAAUUUUAGCAUCCGAUUCUUCAAAACAAAUGUAAAAUAAAGAUUCCAAUUUUAACUUCAUCUCUCAUCUGGGUCGUUCUCAAUUUCCUCAUCUGGGGUUCGUCUUCCUUUUCACCUCAUUCCUCUCAUUCUCUCGUAUUCCAUUUUUUUUUUAAAUUGUCCUUAUAGUUUUUCCAUCAAUUGGGGUGUUGAAAGAAGGAAAAGAAAAUGUUUUUGGUUUUUAUCUUCAUUCUCUUCCUCGGUUUUUUUUUUGUUGGGGUGGUGACGGUUGUGGUUGCCGAAGCUUUGGGAAUCUUGUGGAUCAUUGAACGGGCCAUGAAGGACAAAGACAAAAUCUCAGCACCCGUCUCAUUGGACACUAGUUCGCAAAAUGAUCCUAUCAAUCACCUGACUCUACCUUCGAAAAAGAGGGUGUGAUUUGGGUUCUAGAACAAUACAAGGUAUCAAAGUUCUGGCUGGAAAAGUAAGCUAAAGAUCAUAAAAGGAAAAGGGAGGUACUGGAGGUUAGCCCUGUUAAGAAGCAUGGGAAGAUCAAGGGUGAGUCACUUAUUUUCACAGAGCAUGAUGGUUCGGAGACAGCCAUUUGGCUGAAGGGAUGUGUUGUUGAGGCUGUUUCAUCAUCCAGCCUUCCUUCUAAAAAAUGGUAAUGUGAUGCAGGAAGUCACUUUCGUGAUUGCGUGGGGGCAAAAAGAUACCCGAUAAAAGUUGAAAACAACAAAUCUGUGGUAUACCAUGGAAGCAAAUUGCUUUACAUAUAUCUUGAGACGUCAUGGGAAAAUGAAGCAUGGUGUAAGUCCCUCCGUAUGGCUUCACGCGAUCAGAGUGAAAAACUUAAGUGGUCUAGUCAGUUGUACGAAGAGUGUCAUCGAAAUCUAGCAUCACUAAAUAUUGAAUAUCAUCCUUUUAUCAUGAGACCAUCAGCAGGAUCAAGUUUUGAUGCCUUAGAAAAGUCCAGUAAGCCUGAUGGAUCUUCCUCCAGAGUUCCUCAAUUUUUGAGUAGAAUUACUAAAAAACCGACUUCAUUCCUUUGCGCAGUUGUCAUGAGAUUAACAUUGGUGUUUUAUUUUAUUUUUAAAGAGAAAUCCUCACUGAAACCUUUCCUUGAUUGUGGUUUCUAUAAGAUAAAUGUUAGCCCUUUCUAUUUUUGGACAGAGGGUAUUGACCAAUGUGAGAACACCUACUUAUUUUGGUGAAGUUAUCUGUACAGACAUCAAUAUGGGGACUACUCCACCCUCUAUCGUUGCAAUGAGGGUUCUUCCUAUGGAAAUGAAUGAUGUAUGCACCUUUGAGGCAGAUAUUGAAUAUUCUGGAGGUGCAGUAGUAGAGAUUGAAACAAGGCUUGAAGUUGGUGAACCACAGAACGAUAAGGGGACGGAAUGCUCAAGCAAUGCUGGGGCUGCCCCGUCAGAUCUUGAAGAUCUUAGCAAUCAGUUGAAUCUUGGAGAUGGAGUGAAUGAUUCACAAGAGCCAAAGUAGAUGUCAAUGGGAACACUGGUUCCUCUCACUUUGGCAAUAAGGAUAGUAUCCCUCAAAGGGACAAUGCGUUUACAACUAAAGCCCCCUCCUUCUGAUAAUUUGUGGUAUGGUUUCACAUUAAUGCCUGAUAUAGACUUCAACCUGGAAUCA
Non-coding RNA from Arachis ipaensis, 1631 nucleotides. Lineage: Eukaryota; Viridiplantae; Streptophyta; Magnoliopsida; Fabales; Fabaceae. The record is from RefSeq and is a predicted model, not a curated record.